GACGAACGCUGGAGGCGUGCUUAACACAUGCAAGUCGAACGAUGAAAUGGAGCUUGCUCCAUGGAUUAGUGGCGAACGGGUGAGUAACACGUGAAUAACCUGCCCUUAAUUUUGGAAUAACCCAGGGAAACCUGGGCUAAUACCGGAUAAGUAAACCUGUGGCACCACAUGGUUUUGGAAAGUUUUUCGAUUAAGGAUGGAUUCGCGGCCUAUCAGCUUGUUGGUGAGGUAAUGGCUCACCAAGGCGACGACGGGUAGCCGGCCUGAGAGGGUGAACGGCCACACUGGGACUGAGACACGGCCCAGACUCCUACGGGAGGCAGCAGUGGGGAAUAUUGCGCAAUGGACGAAAGUCUGACGCAGCGACGCCUCGUGAGGGACGAAGGUCUUCGGAUUGUAAACCUCUUUCAGCAGGGACGAAGCGAAGGUGACGGUACCUGCAGAAGAAGCACCGGCUAACUAUGUGCCAGCCGCCGCCGUAA
Molecule: ribosomal RNA, 482 nt
Filed under: uncultured bacterium
Lineage: Bacteria
Description: partial 16S ribosomal RNA
Rfam family: Bacterial small subunit ribosomal RNA
Source: RNAcentral